Molecule: ribosomal RNA, 1372 nt
Filed under: uncultured bacterium
Lineage: Bacteria
Description: bacterial SSU rRNA
Rfam family: Bacterial small subunit ribosomal RNA
Source: RNAcentral
GAUAAACGCUGGCGGCGUGCCUAAUACAUGCAAGUCGAGCGAACGGACGAGAAGCUUGCUUCUCUGAUGUUAGCGGCGGACGGGUGAGUAACACAUGGAUAACCUACCUAUAAGACUGGGAUAACUUCGGGAAACCGGAGCUAAUACCGGAUAAUAUUUUGAACCGCAUGGUUCAAAAGUGAAAGACGGUCUUGCUGUCACUUAUAGAUGGAUCCGCGCUGCAUUAGCUAGUUGGUAAGGUAACGGCUUACCAAGGCAACGAUGCAUAGCCGACCUGAGAGGGUGAUCGGCCACACUGGAACUGAGACACGGUCCAGACUCCUACGGGAGGCAGCAGUAGGGAAUCUUCCGCAAUGGGCGAAAGCCUGACGGAGCAACGCCGCGUGAGUGAUGAAGGUCUUCGGAUCGUAAAACUCUGUUAUUAGGGAAGAACAUAUGUGUAAGUAACUGUGCACAUCUUGACGGUACCUAAUCAGAAAGCCACGGCUAACUACGUGCCAGCAGCCGCGGUAAUACGUAGGUGGCAAGCGUUAUCCGGAAUUAUUGGGCGUAAAGCGCGCGUAGGCGGUUUUUUAAGUCUGAUGUGAAAGCCCACGGCUCAACCGUGGAGGGUCAUUGGAAACUGGAAAACUUGAGUGCAGAAGAGGAAAGUGGAAUUCCAUGUGUAGCGGUGAAAUGCGCAGAGAUAUGGAGGAACACCAGUGGCGAAGGCGACUUUCUGGUCUGUAACUGACGCUGAUGUGCGAAAGCGUGGGGAUCAAACAGGAUUAGAUACCCUGGUAGUCCACGCCGUAAACGAUGAGUGCUAAGUGUUAGGGGGUUUCCGCCCCUUAGUGCUGCAGCUAACGCAUUAAGCACUCCGCCUGGGGAGUACGACCGCAAGGUUGAAACUCAAAGGAAUUGACGGGGACCCGCACAAGCGGUGGAGCAUGUGGUUUAAUUCGAAGCAACGCGAAGAACCUUACCAAAUCUUGACAUCCUUUGACAACUCUAGAGAUAGAGCCUUCCCCUUCGGGGGACAAAGUGACAGGUGGUGCAUGGUUGUCGUCAGCUCGUGUCGUGAGAUGUUGGGUUAAGUCCCGCAACGAGCGCAACCCUUAAGCUUAGUUGCCAUCAUUAAGUUGGGCACUCUAAGUUGACUGCCGGUGACAAACCGGAGGAAGGUGGGGAUGACGUCAAAUCAUCAUGCCCCUUAUGAUUUGGGCUACACACGUGCUACAAUGGACAAUACAAAGGGCAGCGAAACCGCGAGGUCAAGCAAAUCCCAUAAAGUUGUUCUCAGUUCGGAUUGUAGUCUGCAACUCGACUACAUGAAGCUGGAAUCGCUAGUAAUCGUAGAUCAGCAUGCUACGGUGAAUACGUUCCCGGGUCU